AUUGAACGCUGGCGGCAGGCCUAACACAUGCAAGUCGAGCGGAUGAAGGGAGCUUGCUCCUGGAUUCAGCGGCGGACGGGUGAGUAAUGCCUAGGAAUCUGCCUGGUAGUGGGGGAUAACGUCCGGAAACGGGCGCUAAUACCGCAUACGUCCUGAGGGAGAAAGUGGGGGAUCUUCAGACCUCACGCUAUCAGAUGAGCCUAGGUCGGAUUAGCUAGUUGGUGGGGUAAAGGCCUACCAAGGCGACGAUCCGUAACUGGUCUGAGAGGAUGAUCAGUCACACUGGAACUGAGACACGGUCCAGACUCCUACGGGAGGCAGCAGUGGGGAAUAUUGGACAAUGGGCGAAAGCCUGAUCCAGCCAUGCCGCGUGUGUGAAGAAGGUCUUCGGAUUGUAAAGCACUUUAAGUUGGGAGGAAGGGCAGUAAGUUAAUACCUUGCUGUUUUGACGUUACCAACGGAAUAAGCACCGGCUAACUUCGUG
This 484-nucleotide ribosomal RNA is filed under the name uncultured bacterium. Its description in RNAcentral is "partial 16S ribosomal RNA". It matches the Rfam family "Bacterial small subunit ribosomal RNA", at positions 30 to 507 of the family's 1533-position model. The record is from RNAcentral.